This 460-nucleotide ribosomal RNA is filed under the name uncultured bacterium. RNAcentral describes it as "partial 16S ribosomal RNA". It matches the Rfam family "Bacterial small subunit ribosomal RNA", at positions 338 to 795 of the family's 1533-position model. The record is from RNAcentral.
CCUACGGGCGGCAGCAGUGAGGAAUAUUGGUCAAUGGACGAGAGUCUGAACCAGCCAAGUCGCGUGAAGGAUGACUGCCCUAUGGGUUGUAAACUUCUUUUAUAAAGGAAUAAAACGAGGCACGUGUGCCUUUUUGCAUGUACUUUAUGAAUAAGCAUCGGCUAACUCCGUGCCAGCAGCCGCGGUAAUACGGAGGAUCCGAGCGUUAUCCGGAUUUACUGGGGUUAAAGGGAGCGUAGAAGGCAGUGCAAGUCUGGCGUGAAAGUUGGGGGCUCAACCACAGAAUUGCUGUUGAAACUGGAAGGCUUGAGUGUGUGUGAGGUAGGCGGAAUGCGUGGUGUAGCGGUGAAAUGCAUAGAUAUCACGCAGAACUCCAGUUGCGAAGGCAGCUUACUGGGCCGUAACUGACGCUGAGGCACGAAAGCGUGGGGAUCAAACAGGAUUAGAUACCCUGGUAGUC